AUUGAACGCUGGCGGCAGGCCUAACACAUGCAAGUCGAGCGGAUGAAGGGAGCUUGCUCCUGGAUUCAGCGGCGGACGGGUGAGUAAUGCCUAGGAAUAUGCCUGGUAGUGGGGGAUAACGUCCGGAAACGGGCGCUAAUACCGCAUACGUCCUGCGGGAGAAGGUGGGGGAUCUUCGGACCUCACGCUCUCAGAUGAGCCUAGGUCGGGUUAGCUAGUUGGUGGGGUAAAGGCCUACCAAGGGGACGAUCCGUAACUGGACUGAGAGGAUGAUCAGUCACCUGAGAACGUGAACGGCGACAUGGGGCCUGAGGGAGGGACCAGACGGGAAUAGUGGACAAUGGGCGAAAGCCUUAUCCAGCCAGGCCGCGUGUGUGGAAGAGGUCCUCGGAGUGUAAAGCACUUUAAGUUGGGGGGAAGGGCAGUAAGUUAAGACCUAGCUUUUUUGACGUUACCAACAGAAUAAGCACCGGCUAACUUCGUG
This 484-nucleotide ribosomal RNA is filed under the name uncultured bacterium. Its description in RNAcentral is "partial 16S ribosomal RNA". It matches the Rfam family "Bacterial small subunit ribosomal RNA", at positions 30 to 507 of the family's 1533-position model. The record is from RNAcentral.